GACGAACGCUGGCGGCGUGCUUAACACAUGCAAGUCGAACGGAAAGGCCCUGCUUUUGUGGGGUGCUCGAGUGGCGAACGGGUGAGUAACACGUGAGUAACCUGCCCUUGACUUUGGGAUAACUUCAGGAAACGGGGGCUAAUACCGGAUAGGAGCUCCUGCUGCAUGGUGGGGGUUGGAAAGUUUCGGCGGUUGGGGAUGGACUCGCGGCUUAUCAGCUUGUUGGUGGGGUAGUGGCUUACCAAGGCUUUGACGGGUAGCCGGCCUGAGAGGGUGACCGGCCACAUUGAGACUGAGAUACGGCCCAGACUCCUACGGGAGGCAGCAGUGGGGAAUAUUGCACAAUGGGCGGAAGCCUGAUGCAGCAACGCCGCGUGCGGGAUGACGGCCUUCGGGUUGUAAACCGCUUUCGCCUGUGACGAAGCGUGAGUGACGGUAAUGGGUAAAGAAGCACCGGCUAACUACGUG
RNAcentral lists this ribosomal RNA (468 nucleotides) under uncultured bacterium. Its description in RNAcentral is "partial 16S ribosomal RNA". It matches the Rfam family "Bacterial small subunit ribosomal RNA", at positions 28 to 507 of the family's 1533-position model. The record is from RNAcentral.